Molecule: non-coding RNA, 300 nt
Organism: Vicia faba (fava bean)
Lineage: Eukaryota; Viridiplantae; Streptophyta; Magnoliopsida; Fabales; Fabaceae
Source: the annotation of a GenBank genome assembly
AUGGUGGCGCGCCGGAGAGUGCUUGUCGGUCGUCUGUGGUCGUUGAUGGUUAAGCAUUUGAAGAUUAUAUGUCGUUUUGGAUUUUUAGCAACAAUAAGUGGUUUUGGGAGCAAAAUGGAUAACAAAUAUUUUUGGACAGCAAAGAUGGAUAACAAGUAUUUUUGGACAGCAAAGAUGGAUAACAAGUAUUUUUGGACAGCAAAGAUGGAUAACAAGUAUUUGGGACAGCAAGCGAUAAAUUGGUAUUACGCGACGGAAGAACAACUCAACUCAAAUACAAUACAACAAAGAAAAGAAUGA